This 305-nucleotide ribosomal RNA is filed under the name uncultured bacterium. RNAcentral's name for it is "bacterial SSU rRNA". It matches the Rfam family "Bacterial small subunit ribosomal RNA", at positions 337 to 658 of the family's 1533-position model. The record is from RNAcentral.
UCCUACGGGACGCAGCAGUGGGGAAUAUUGCAUAAUGGGGGAAACCCUGAUGCAGCAACGCCGCGUGAAGGAAGACGGUUUUCGGAUUGUAAACUUCUGUUCUUAGUGAAGAAUAAUGACGGUAGCUAAGGAGCAAGCCACGGCUAACUACGUGCCAGCAGCCGCGGUAAUACGUAGGUGGCAAGCGUUGUCCGGAAUUACUGGGUGUAAAGGGAGCGCAGGCGGGAAGCCAAGUCAGCUGUGAAAACUACGGGCUUAACUUGUAGACUGCAGUUGACACUGGUUUUCUUGAGUGAAGUAGGGGU